CUUCACCUACGGGAGGCAGCAGUGAGGAAUAUUGGUCAAUGGUCGGGAGACUGAACCAGCCAAGCCGCGUGAGGGAGGAAGGUACAGAGUAUCGUAAACCUCUUUUGUCAGGGAACAAAGACUGGGACGCGUCCCCGGAUGAGUGUACCUGAAGAAAAAGCAUCGGCUAACUCCGUGCCAGCAGCCGCGGUAAUACGGAGGAUGCGAGCGUUAUCCGGAUUUAUUGGGUUUAAAGGGUGCGUAGACGGGAAAACAAGUUAGUUGUGAAAUCCCUCGGCUUAACUGCGGAACUGCAACUAAAACUA
Molecule: ribosomal RNA, 305 nt
Filed under: uncultured bacterium
Lineage: Bacteria
Description: bacterial SSU rRNA
Rfam family: Bacterial small subunit ribosomal RNA
Source: RNAcentral